GAUGAACGCUGGCGGCGUGCCUAAUACAUGCGAGUCGAGCGAACACACGAGGAGCUUGCUCCUCUGACGUUAGCGGCGGACGGGUGAGUAACACGUGGAUAACCUACCUAUAAGACUGGGAUAACUUCGGGAAACCGGAGCUAAUACCGGAUAAUAUAUUGAACCGCAUGGUUCAAUAGUGAAAGACGGUUUUGCUGUCACUUAUAGAUGGAUCCGCGCCGCAUUAGCUAGUUGGUAAGGUAACGGCUUACCAAGGCAACGAUGCGUAGCCGACCUGAGAGGGUGAUCGGCCACACUGGAACUGAGACACGGUCCAGACUCCUACGGGAGGCAGCAGUAGGGAAUCUUCCGCAAUGGGCGAAAGCCUGACGGAGCAACGCCGCGUGAGUGAUGAAGGUCUUCGGAUCGUAAAACUCUGUUAUUAGGGAAGAACAAAUGUGUAAGUAACUAUGCACGUCUUGACGGUACCUAAUCAGAAAGCCACGGCUAACUACGUG
Molecule: ribosomal RNA, 497 nt
Filed under: uncultured bacterium
Lineage: Bacteria
Description: partial 16S ribosomal RNA
Rfam family: Bacterial small subunit ribosomal RNA
Source: RNAcentral